This 200-nucleotide unclassified non-coding RNA is filed under the name Crepidotus sp. RNAcentral's name for it is "partial internal transcribed spacer 2". The record is from RNAcentral. Lineage: Eukaryota; Fungi; Basidiomycota; Agaricomycetes; Agaricales; Crepidotaceae.
UUAAGUUCAGCGGGUAGUCCUACCUGAUUUGAGGUCAAAAUUGUCAUUUGUAGUCUGUCCAAGUCAAUGGACUGUUAGAAGCAGCAUGACCCCCAUAUAUAACGUGGGCGUCUAAUGGCGUAGAUAGUUAUCACACCAAUAGCCGUUUACCACAAGGGUACCGCUAAUACAUUUCAGGGGAGCUGACUGUGAAAGCCUGC